GAACAGACUUCAGUGGGACAGAAACUCUGGACUCUUUACACUCACAGAGCUGCAGAGGAACGACUCAGGGAUUUAUACUGUCGACUCUAAAACAGGAAACGAUUUCACAUCAUCAUAUAAGCUCACAGUGUACGACUCUGUACCGACUCCUGCAGUGAAGAAAGUGAGUGUGAGCUCUGAGAGCUGCUCCUUACUGUGUUUGGUGGACAGAGAGACCAAACUGCUGUGGUUUAAAGACGAGCAGAGACUGAACCAGAGCAGCUCUGCGCUCUCUCUGCCUCUCACUGUGCACAAACAGGACUUCAGCUCCUCUUACAGAUGUGUGGCUGCAAACCCUGCAGAGAAUAAAACUCUUCCUGUCCAUGUGAGAACGACCUGUGGAGACACCAACAACGACACCAACAGCUCGACUGAACCAAGAAACUAUAACAUCCUCAUUAUAAUCUUCUGUGUCCUGAGUGCUGCCCUCAUCAUCAUCAUCAUCAUCCUCAUCAUGAGGAGGAAGCAUCCUGUCCAAGACAAGUUUAACCUCCUACAAGCU
Long non-coding RNA from Oreochromis aureus, 541 nucleotides. The record is from Ensembl. Lineage: Eukaryota; Metazoa; Chordata; Actinopteri; Cichliformes; Cichlidae.